GGUUGUGUAGUGUAAUGGUUAGCACUCGAGAUUCUGAUUCUCGCAAUCCCGGUUCGAUCCCGGGCACGACCU
Non-coding RNA from Aspergillus leporis, 72 nucleotides. NCBI's taxonomy places the organism in Eukaryota, Fungi, Ascomycota, Eurotiomycetes, Eurotiales, Aspergillaceae. The record is from the annotation of a GenBank genome assembly.